CGCGGUAGUCCUACCUCUUUUCCUGCGCGUGCGUGCAGCUCCCGUGCUCAGCCGCGGGGCUGGAGGGGCCGUGGGGACUCUGGGCCCGAGGGUCCAUAGGUGACAUUAUCAGUCGAUAGGCAUUUAUUCUACUGUUUGAGGAAAACAAACAGGGGUGCAGCUUAGGUGAAAAGAGAAACAGCUUAUUGCCAGUGUCUAAACUAACAACGGAAUGUGUCUGGGAGCGUGUGUAUGGAUACACGUGUACUUUAGAGCAGCCCCGCCUGUGUGCAGAGCUCUUGGUCUAAGCCAACGCUUCACGGGAGCUAUCGCACUUUAAGCCUCAAAACAACUUUAUGAGGUCUGUGAAGUGUCAGACCUCAAGAUGGACAACAGCUGUUUCAUUAGAUACAGCAUCUAGUUCUCCAGUCAUAAACCUGUACAACAUUCACUGAAAUUUGUUGGCCUAUUUCUAACAGGCUUGUUUAUGUGCAUUCUUACUCUAUCCUGGACUGGAAUCAGAAAAUUGGACAAUGUUGCAGGUUCUGACUGAUGCAGGCACACUGACCAGCCAAAGUGAGAAGUGAGUGAAAUUUCAACAGACUACACUACAAGAAAAGUUAAAGAAGUCCUUCAGACAGAAGGGAAAUGAUACCAGGUGGAAAUACAGAUUUACACAAAGGGAUGAUGAGAGCUGCAAAAGGAUUGGUUCCUGCAAGUGAAACUACUGUAUCAAAGAUUUGGACAUUUUUGACUCCAGAAAGGUAAUAUAGUAAUAGAUGGGUGUGUAAAUUACAUUCUUAGUAACAGUUAUUAGCACUUAUUUUCAGUCUCUGCCAAUCUGAUGGAAAGACCCUUUCUGUAAUUUACAUAAAGUUGCAUUUUGUUCAUACACUCAUAUUAAUAACUUUGCCAUUUUAGGGACUUGCAGUUCUUUACAGAGCCUUGCCAAGAUAUUGAAGAAAAUAUAUUUUGUUAUUGGCUUUGGCAGCAUUUAAGAUAAAUUAUAUUUUGAACACAUAGAAAGGUGAGGAAAAAGUAACAUAAAAAAGGAUCCAAAUUAUUUUACUUAAUAAAAAGUAAGAUUGUAUUUAAUUUUCUUCUUUUUUUAGAAACAGGAAAGUUUUAUUAUGAUUGUUUAAGAAGCUUAAUAAAUAUAUAAAUUGAUUUUCCAUUAUAGAAAUGGAGAAUACUGCUUCUUUUUACAUUUCCAUUAAAUAUAUAUGCAAUCAAUUAUUUCUUGGGCACAAAGGAAGUGCAACACAGUACAAGAAAGGAAAAAUUGUACAGGCCAUAUUCUGACCACAAAACAAUGCUCUGUGAUGACCUAGA
Molecule: long non-coding RNA, 1311 nt
Organism: Cervus elaphus (red deer)
Lineage: Eukaryota; Metazoa; Chordata; Mammalia; Artiodactyla; Cervidae
Exons: 5
Source: RefSeq, a predicted model, not a curated record